This 420-nucleotide ribosomal RNA is filed under the name uncultured eukaryote. RNAcentral's name for it is "SSU rRNA". It matches the Rfam family "Eukaryotic small subunit ribosomal RNA", at positions 592 to 1018 of the family's 1831-position model. The record is from RNAcentral.
CAAUAGCGUAUAUUAAAGUUGUUGCGGUUAAAAGCUCGUAGUUGGAUUUCUGCUGAGGACGAUCGGUCCGCCCUCUGGGUGAGCAUUGACUCGGCCUUGGCAUCUUCUUGGAGAACGCUACUGCACUUGACUGUGUGGUGCGGUAUCCAGGACUUUUACUUUGAGGAAAUUAGAGUGUUUCAAGCAGGCGCACGCCUUGAAUACAUUAGCAUGGAAUAAUAGGAUAGGACCUUGGUUCUAUUUUGUUGGUUUCUAGAGCUGAGGUAAUGAUUAAUAGGGAUAGUUGGGGGCAUUCGUAUUUAAUUGUCAGAGGUGAAAUUCUUGGAUUUAUGAAAGAUGAACUUAGGCGAAAGCAUUUACCAAGGAUGUUUUCAUUAAUCAAGAACGAAAGUUAGGGGAUCGAAGAUGAUUAGAUACCAU